Molecule: transfer-messenger RNA, 374 nt
Filed under: Kaistia dalseonensis
Lineage: Bacteria; Pseudomonadati; Pseudomonadota; Alphaproteobacteria; Hyphomicrobiales; Kaistiaceae
Rfam family: Alphaproteobacteria transfer-messenger RNA
About the family: Bacterial tmRNA, also known as 10Sa RNA or SsrA, is named for its dual tRNA and mRNA-like properties.
Source: RNAcentral
GCCCUUUUCACCGCCCUUUCGAUCCCCUAUAUCUCCAGUGCCGGUGCAAGCCGGCUAUGGCGAUAAACGGUCACCGAAAUAAACCUAUCGGACCCGGGGGCGGUACCCGGCGCCUCCACCAAAGACCAUCGGCAACGAUGGACCAUCGACGGCGAUGGUUUUCGGCGGGGGCGAAAUAGGAUCGACGAGGGCGUAAAGGGUGUUCUUUUGCUCGGCAUGGUACCGCCGAUAUCGGACCAAACCUAUAGUUGCGAAUGACAACUAUGCUCCGGUUGCUAUCGCCGCGUAAUGCGGUGCUGGUACCGAAAUCAAAGUCCUUGCGGGUAGCACUGUAAGGCGGGGUCCGGAGGCACCUGGCAACAGAAGCCUCCACU